Molecule: long non-coding RNA, 692 nt
Filed under: Chloebia gouldiae (Gouldian finch)
Lineage: Eukaryota; Metazoa; Chordata; Aves; Passeriformes; Passeridae
Description: Erythrura gouldiae (Gouldian finch) lncRNA (ENSEGOG00005016435.1)
Source: RNAcentral
AGCGCCGCGGUCCGUGAGGGCUGCGCCGGCUAAGGGCGCUCCGGGCGGCUCGAGAAAAGGGGUUACAGGGGCCCUGCGGCUAAUUAGGGGCUCUUGCACAGGCAGGGAGUGUUGGGCAUGUGAAGGCAGCAGGGUGUUUCGGUGGAGUUGCUGAGGGAAAAGCUGAAGUAGUUCAGGCAGGACAGAAUGGCUUCUGAGGGGGAGAGCUGAGGGAACUUGGGAGAGCCGAGGGGAUGCUUAAGGAAAAGCUGAGGUAGUUCAGGCGGGACAGAGCAGCUUCUGAGGGGGAGAGCUGAGGGAAUGUUUUGAGGUAAAAUCUGAAGCGAACUGUGAGGGACAGAAUUUUGAGGUAAAAUCUGAAGUGAAUUAUGNNNNNNNNNNAUGACGGACAGAAUUUUGAGUGUUCCCAGCUGUGAAUUCCUCAGCAACAGGAGAGCAAACUCAGCAAAACCUGGUUUUACUCAUGUUUGUUGUGCUUCUGGGCCAAGCAUAAAGAAUUCUCCACGUGGCAGAGCCUCCACUUGCUGAGUUUUAGGGGUUGCCUGAUUUCCAAUACCCGCCUGCUCCAAACAAUUUGCCAUUAAGAACUGGGAGGAAUGCCUGAGUGUGCUGUACAGCAGAAGAGGUUGGUAUGGCUGGAGGGCUGCUGGUGUUUGGGCGGUGAUGCCGAGAAGGGAACAGCAGACUGGCCG